This 325-nucleotide ribosomal RNA is filed under the name uncultured bacterium. Its description in RNAcentral is "bacterial SSU rRNA". It matches the Rfam family "Bacterial small subunit ribosomal RNA", at positions 158 to 475 of the family's 1533-position model. The record is from RNAcentral.
UCCGGCUAAUCCCCCGUACGCUUGCCGGGCCGCAUGGCUUGGCAAGGAAAGGUAGCUUCGGCCAUCCGGCGAGGGAUGGGCCCGCGGUGCAUUAGCUAGUUGGUGGGGUAACGGCCCACCAAGGCGCGAUGCAUAGCUGGUCUGAGGGAUGAUCAGCCACACUGGGCUGAGCCGGCCCAGACUCCUACGGGAGGCAGCAGUCGGGAAUCUUGCGCAAUGGGCGAAAGCCUGACGCAGCAACGCCGUGUGGGCGACGAAGGCCCUCGGGUCGUAAAGCCCGUGUUGGGGACGAAGGGUUUUUGGUUAAUAGCCCCGAGCCUGGCGG